Labrus mixtus (cuckoo wrasse) is the source of this 1008-nucleotide long non-coding RNA. RefSeq lists it as uncharacterized. The record is from RefSeq and is a predicted model, not a curated record. The transcript is spliced from 4 exons. NCBI's taxonomy places the organism in Eukaryota, Metazoa, Chordata, Actinopteri, Labriformes, Labridae.
UGCAGCGCUGAUUCUGAAGAGAACGCCUUCACAUAGGACUCAAAGGAAAUCAGUGCUUAAAGGAAACAGCAGUCCAGAGUCUGAUUCCAGCUCCGAAGAUGCCCUCAGAUUCAGAUCCAUCAACAACCCCUGACAACAUGGAGGACUCGUCCCCUGAGCGUUUCCUGUCCCCUCUCGAUGGAGUUCUUCUCUUCAGUCAUUAACUCUUGAAAACAGCAGCACAACAUGCCAGACUGUUUGACAAGUCUGUGAUUGAAUAAAUGGAAAUGGAAUCUCAUGCAUAUCUUGCUAUGCUUAUUGGCUUUAAAUGUUUAAUAUUAAAUAAGUUUGAAGGCCAUUCAUCUCAGACCGGCUGUGACAAGCUGAGCUCGUCUGUUAGCUUUGCUGUUGUUGGUCAAGAAGAAAUUAAUGUCAGUUCAAAGCCUUUUCAAAUGUGAGCUAUAAACUUAACUGCUAAAUUAUUUUACUGUGACCAACACGUUGUAGUGCUCCAGUUAAUCAGAGACAAUCAUGUCAGAUUUAAAAAAAGUUUAUUUAAACAUUUUGUUAAAAAAAAAAUCUUCAAUAAACGACCCCCGGCUUCAUUAACCAUGUGGAAAAUAAGUAAGGGAGACCAUCAGGUCAAACUGCUGGAACAUAGGAGAAAGUAUGAAAAAUAAUUUAACAAAGAAAUCCCAACAAAAAUCAAAUAAAUUAUAAAGAUCCUGGAUGAUUGUUUGACUGUUAAAAUAUGACGGAAAAGCAAAUCCAACACAACCCUCCAGCAUCUGGCCUUUUAAACACAGGGCAACAUCAUGGAAAGAAAAAUAAAUUAAAUAUUGACCAGGAUCUCUGUGUUUUCUCUGAGGAUGACUGUGGUAGCCUUCUCACUGUUCACUGUCACAAAGCACCAGACUCUGUCCACCUUCUCACUACGUCGAUCAGCUCCUCUGGGUGAUGGCAGAGAGGACUCUUCAUCUGGGAGAGCUGCUGGUGUAAGGUCAUUUCUACCACAGUGGAUGAGCAGGG